UGAGGAAUAUUGGUCAAUGGGCGAAAGCCUGAACCAGCCAAGUCGCGUGAAGGAUGAAGGUUCUAUGGAUUGUAAACUUCUUUUGUCUGAGGGUAAAAAAGCGGACGUGUCCGUUCUUGCAAGUAUCAGACGAAUAAGCAUCGGCUAACUCCGUGCCAGCAGCCGCGGUAAUACGGAGGAUGCGAGCGUUAUCCGGAUUUAUUGGGUUUAAAGGGUGCGUAGGCGGGUUGCUAAGUCAGUGGUAAAAGCGUGUGGCUCAACCAUACCAAGCCAUUGAAACUGGCGAUCUUGAGUGUAAACGAGGUAGGCGGAAUGUGACGUGUAGCGGUGAAAUGCUUAGAUAUGUCACAGAACCCCGAUUGCGAAGGCAGCUUACCAGCAUACAACUGACGCUGAGGCACGAAAGCGUGGGUAUCAAACAGG
RNAcentral lists this ribosomal RNA (423 nucleotides) under uncultured prokaryote. RNAcentral describes it as "bacterial SSU rRNA". It matches the Rfam family "Bacterial small subunit ribosomal RNA", at positions 355 to 776 of the family's 1533-position model. The record is from RNAcentral. RNAcentral also lists the same sequence under 1 other name.